Molecule: ribosomal RNA, 440 nt
Filed under: uncultured bacterium
Lineage: Bacteria
Description: partial 16S ribosomal RNA
Rfam family: Bacterial small subunit ribosomal RNA
Source: RNAcentral
CCUACGGGUGGCAGCAGUGGGGAAUAUUGCACAAUGGGGGAAACCCUGAUGCAGCGACGCCGCGUGAAGGAAGAAGUAUUUCGGUAUGUAAACUUCUAUCAGCAGGGAAGAAAAUGACGGUACCUGACUAAGAAGCCCCGGCUAACUACGUGCCAGCAGCCGCGGUAAUACGUAGGGGGCAAGCGUUAUCCGGAUUUACUGGGUGUAAAGGGAGCGUAGGCGGCGAUGCAGGUCAGAAGUGAAAGCCCGGGGCUCAACUCCGGGACUGCGUUUGAAACUGUAUGGCGAGAUGGCAGGAGAGGCAAGUGGAAUUCCUAGUGUAGCGGUGAAAUGCGUAGAUAUUAGGAGGAACACCAGUGGCGAAGGCGGCUUGCUGGACUGUAAAUGACGCUGAGGCUCGAAAGCGUGGGGAGCAAACAGGAUUAGAUACCCCGGUAGUC